CCUACGGGAGGCAGCAGUGGGGAAUAUUGGACAAUGGGGGGAACCCUGAUCCAGCGACGCCGCGUGAGUGAAGAAGUAUUUCGGUAUGUAAAGCUCUAUCAGCAGGGAAGAAAGAAAUGACGGUACCUGACUAAGAAGCCCCGGCUAACUACGUGCCAGCAGCCGCGGUAAUACGUAGGGGGCAAGCGUUAUCCGGAUUUACUGGGUGUAAAGGGAGCGUAGACGGCGAGGCAAGUCUGAAGUGAAAGGAGGGGCCCAACCCCCGGACUGCUUUGGAAACGGUAUGGCUGGAGUGCAGGAGAGGUAAGUGGAAUUCCUAGUGUAGCGGUGAAAUGCGUAGAUAUUAGGAGGAACACCAGUGGCGAAGGCGGCUUACUGGACUGUAACUGACGUUGAGGCUCGAAAGCGUGGGGAGCAAACAGGAUUAGAUACCCUUGUAGUC
Molecule: ribosomal RNA, 442 nt
Filed under: uncultured bacterium
Lineage: Bacteria
Description: partial 16S ribosomal RNA
Rfam family: Bacterial small subunit ribosomal RNA
Source: RNAcentral